UAGGGAAUCUUCCGCAAUGGACGCAAGUCUGACGGAGCAACGCCGCGUGAGUGAAGAAGGAUUUCGGUUCGUAAAACUCUGUUGUUAGAGAAGAACAGCGCAUAGAGUAACUGUUAUGCGUGUGACGGUAUCUAACCAGAAAGCCACGUCUAACUACGUGCCAGCAGCCGCGGUAAUACGUAGGUGGCAAGCGUUGUCCGGAUUUAUUGGGCGUAAAGCGAGCGCAGGCGGUCAAUUAAGUCUGAUGUGAAAGCCCCCGGCUCAACCGGGGAGGGUCAGUGGAAACUGGUUGACUUGAGUGCAGAAGAGGAGAGUGGAAUUCCAUGUGUAGCGGUGAAAUGCGUAGAUAUAUGGAGGAACACCAGUGGCGAAGGCGACUCUCUGGUCUGUAACUGACGCUGAGGUUCGAAAGCGUGGGUAGCAAACAGG
This 429-nucleotide ribosomal RNA is filed under the name Bacteroidota bacterium. RNAcentral describes it as "Bacteroidetes bacterium partial 16S ribosomal RNA". It matches the Rfam family "Bacterial small subunit ribosomal RNA", at positions 355 to 776 of the family's 1533-position model. The record is from RNAcentral. Lineage: Bacteria; Pseudomonadati; Bacteroidota.